CAGAGGCAGCGGCAGUGUUAGUCGCACUGGAAGCUGUUUCUUUUUAUUAAUAGCAAUUAGUUGGAUGGCGAAAAAAAGGCAACAAAUCGGUUGUUUUAUGUGGCGCAAAAUUUGCGGUUUCCAUGUGGCGCUGAUGCGAAAUCGCUGUAAAUGAACCACCACUCGACUCGACUGUGUGAGCGGAGAUAUAUGCUUGUCAAGUCGAAAAUUAUUCGUACCGGCAUUCGGACGGCUUGAACUCGAUUGAACCCAAAGCGAAUUGCGAGUACGUAUCAGCAGCGACUCCCCCGGAGAUUGUCAAAUAUCAAGAUGGCACAGUCAGAUAAAGCCAAUUAUCCAGCACACAAACAAGUAAGACGGGCAAAGAAAAGCAAUAACAGUGAGACUGCACAAUUACUAAUUGCAUUUUAGAUUGAGGCCUGUCAAAAGCCAAGGCAAUUGCAGCAAAUUUGAUUUUCAAAUGAGCCUGCAAUCAGUGGAUCAGCAGCCGCUCGAUGACGUCCACUUACGCGGGGGUCUGAUAACAGAGAAGCCCCUUUUACUUAUCACUCCAGUCAGCGAAGAAGCCCCCAUGGCCAACCAUUGCUCUUAUCUGGCAAACAUUUCGUUGUGAAAGUGACGCAGUCUCAGAUACAAAUGCGGCAAUUGCCCUGCUUUACAAAAAAAAAAACCAAAACGGAGCAAGACAACCGCAGUUUUUGUUUACCCAAAAUUCUUUGGCAAUGCUUGGCCAGGCCAUGUCAUAACCUUAGCCUAGACCUCACACAUCACCCAGUCACCCAGCUACCCUAUCCCCUAAUCACCCACUCAUCCACAUAUCCCUGCCCUCCGAAAAAGGACACCCACUCAGUGGCAGGCGAGGUCGUCGGAGAUAUAAAUUACCAUAGUCAAGUGGAACGGUCUGGUUUGGCCUGCCGCUUGCAACAUUUUUGGCCCAGAAGUCGAGACCCACUGCUGACUGCUGACUGCUGGCUUUUUCAUGGCUUCCGUCGCCACAGUCGUUGCCAAAAUCAAUGAAAUUUUCAACUUCCGCUGUCAUUGCGCCCAUCCCGCCCGACAUUCGAGCCAAGUGGGGAUUGUAAAAUUGGGCCGGCGAGGCAAUAAUUGUUAUUAUACCAUCCGUUUGUCUGGUAUUUAUUUUGCAUAUGUGCUUGCAUACGGGUAUUGGCCAAAUUUUAAGGCAAAAUCGUUAGGCAGAUGGGCUUGUCAUUACUCUGAACUGUUUGCUGAACUGUUUACAUAUUGCAAAUAAUGCUCCGAAUUCCUUUUGGUAACAAUUUUUUUUUUUAGCCUUAGAGAGGCCUCUCAAUUUCACAGAAAGUAUGCAAAUGCUCGCAUGAUGAGAGAAAUGCCUUAAUUUCACACUUUAUAUUCAUUUUUUUCAAAAACGUUCGAACAUGACAAUACAAUAUCCAGUUUGUUUCAAUGUUGAUUUUAAUUGCUUGGAAAAGCUUUACUUCCUUCAAAUACGCGAUUUGUUAAAGAAAUAAAGUUUAUGCAGUCAAUUUGUUAUAAGAAAUUCCAUUUUAAAAUAUUUGAACUCUACAUGUAUUUCAACAUUGGUUUAUUAAUUAAUGACUAUUUAUAGCUUUGUUUCAUGGCCAAGAUUUGUCAUUUAAAUAGCUUCUCAAACAUAAGAUACUGGCCUGCAAAUAAGUCUGGCACUAUCUUUGCGAAUUGUCAAGUACAUAUCACAUCAGCUGACUGGGAGAUAGCAGAUAUUGUUUAAUGUUUACAUAGGCCUACGAUAUCCAGCAAAAUCGUUCUUUUUAUAGAGCAUUGCCGUUCCACUGAGGCCCAAUUUCUAAAUUCUCAUGUAUUUAGUAUUUUGUUUGCACUGCUUCCUGACUGUAAGCAAAAAAGAAUUUCGAAUGCCUUUGGAAGGUCAGCUGGGCCAAAAAAGUGGGCCUAGUGGCGGUGGACAGGCUUUUGGCGAGUCAAAUUAAAAUUCAUUUUAUGUGGUCUGGAGAGUGGAAAGCUGAGGGCGUUAUGUAAGCCUUUGUUUUGUGGGUGGGAAAUGUAAUAAUUCCGCAAUGACCCUCAAAGCAGGUGGAAAUAAUUGCGCAAGCGUUUCCACCGGGCCGGCGGUAAAUUGAAUUUGGCCCGCCUGAAAGGAAAUCUGCAACUGCAGCGAAAAUCUCGGGUCAUCAAUUCGCUAUUCGGCAUGACUGCAAGGAUGCGAAGGACCUGGGUCUGGGCAUUCCAGUGCUGCGACUAAACUACACGAGACACAUUCCGUUUGGCAAAACAUAAAUCUGGCAGCCAGCACACACAAGUGUGCCCUCCCAAAAAGAAAACCCUGGCUUGCCCCCCAAAAAAGAAAACAAACACACAAACAGUGAAAUGAGAGAACAAACAAAUAGUCAGAGAUGCGAUUGCGACUACACAUGCAGAUACAGAUACUGGUGCAGAUGCGGAUACAGAUACAGACACGGAUCCAGAUACUCCUGCUGCAAUCGCAUGCAGAAAUGCUGAAAACAUUGGAGGACAUGUGUAAUUUCUCACGUGCAACUGCGGGGUCUCUCUCUUUGUUGAUUCCCAUCCCGCCACUUUACCACUUCUUCACACAAUUGGGGGAGAAAUGGCGGAAGGACGCCCAGCUGAAGACAAACAAAAUGCCAAAUGAAACAAACAAUAAAAAUGUUUGUAUGUACGUAGGUAGCAGCAGCGGCGAGCAUAAAAGCAAAGUGCUUAAAAAAUAAUAGUAAAUUACACAGACAAGCACCGGGUGCCCGGCCACGACACGCCCCCUUUUUGCAACAUACAGCCAUGCAUGACAAGCUUGCGUUAUUUUGGGGCAAGCUGAUUUAAUCCCGGGCAGCAGGAGCUGCACAAGCAGCAAGGACGAAGGCGGUGGCACCUCGUGCCCAGACGGCCGUUGGGCGGGGGGGCGUUGAAGGGUUAACGCUUUGCUCACCUGUCGUGGCCCAAAACGCCGCGAUUUGCAACGCCCCACCUGGUGAAAUCAGUGGGCGGAGGACCUUUGGCUGGGAGAUGGAAAUUAGGAGGGGUCAACGGAUUGCCCUAACGUUUUUUCGGCUGCUCGCCUUUCGCGGCACAUUUAAAUUCAAAGGGAAUUCCACUUUCGGCGGAUUAUAUGCAAUUUCCUUCGCCGAAACACUCAAAUUGUUUUACUCACCAUUUGCGAUAUGAGAAUUCAUGGCACAUGGUACAAGUUUUCCGCUUCUGAUUAUGCCAAAUGAGAUGAUUCCGUCGAAACGGCAGUGAGUGCUGCUGCAAUGGAGAGUCCAGAGCCAGAGACUCAUCCUCGGCUGGGAUACAAAUGUUUUCAUUAAAUUCGGUUUGUUUGGUGGUUUCUUUUGUGACCCGCUUUGUUCUCAGUCGCCAUUAUGGGGUCCAUUGCUGCCAUUUGCUACCGGCGGAAGGCCACCCAUCUGCCACCACCCACUUUUGUUGCCAAGCUGGAACACUAAACAAUACAGCAAAAUUACUUAAUUUCAUGUUGGUCUAAUCAAGUUGCCAUUGCCGAGCAGGUAAGCGACGAGUGUGUGGCUGGCUGGCACGGAACGUCCUCCGCACAAAGGUGGCCAGCGGGAGCUGGAGCAGCAGAACCAUCUGCUGCGGGGGAGGAGGGCAGCUGAGGGUCCUCGGUGGCAGCCCUGCUGUACUCAAAUAAUUUGCCGUUACCGUGCACCUUUAAUGUGCCUACACUUCAAGGAUUUUGUAAUUACCAUUAAAAAUGUUAUUAAGUUUUCAAGUUAUAA
Drosophila sechellia is the source of this 3725-nucleotide long non-coding RNA. RefSeq lists it as uncharacterized. The record is from RefSeq and is a predicted model, not a curated record. The transcript has 4 exons. NCBI's taxonomy places the organism in Eukaryota, Metazoa, Arthropoda, Insecta, Diptera, Drosophilidae.